ACAGUGAAAGUGUGACUCAGUGUGGCCGACAGCUUUUUCCAAAACAACAACGGAGGUCAGCGGAUGUUACAACUGCCACACUUUUUACUUCUGAUACUGUCUCCACUGGCCGUAAAAUCGACCUUCCACCUUUUAACGAAGAUGGGACUGAAUCUUUCACCUAUCUUCACCUUGCCGAUUUAUCUGCAGUGAUGGCCUCCAUUCUCCAGGUGAUGCUGCGUUUUUGUAUUGGAUGAAUGUCGCCCUUGUAAACCAGGUGAAAGUUUGGAUGUCUACAGUGCUGGCACCACAUGUCUUGUGCUUGAAGCUUUCCCUAACUAUGUCAUCAAAACACUGGAAGGUGAGAAAUUUUGUGGCCGGCUUGCAUCCAGCCUGCAAAUGACCACACCAGGUUUCCCUCACACUCAACCUACAGAACAGACCCCGGACCUAGCAGAACCCCUUCCCGUGAUGGUCGCUACAGUGGAUGCAGUGUCUUUCCUUCCAUCUACUUUAACAGACAACACCCCAGAGACUAUUACUCACCUGAGCAGCAUCAUGGGCAUGAUCCAGACUCACCCACUACAAACAUUGUGCUCCUCUCCCUGCUCAUCGGAGACACCCUGAGUGGGAUGAUAAAGACAGACAUGUCAGGGUUUUCCAAGACAUCCGUACGGGACUGACUGGCAUCUUCAUGCUGAUG
Plectropomus leopardus (leopard coralgrouper) is the source of this 682-nucleotide non-coding RNA. Lineage: Eukaryota; Metazoa; Chordata; Actinopteri; Perciformes; Serranidae. The record is from RefSeq and is a predicted model, not a curated record.